CCACUCCCCUCGUCCUUUCUUUCUUCGGACCGUCGUCUGGGGAGUGGUUUGGAGGGACCUUUUGUGCGGCGCAAUCUGAUUAGGUCUCGGGAUGUCGAGUGGGUAGUAACCACACGUGCCUUUCACUUCCUUUCGGCGUCCUUCGCUCUUCUCCCUCCCUCCCUUCUUAGUCGGCGCCUGUCGAGAGGGUGUGGGAGGGGAGGAGCAGAGAGUCGGUCGUCAUAAUUAGGGGAGGAAGGGGAAGGGAGGGAACUUCGUGUGUACUCGGCGAGACUAAGAAGAAGUUCGAGCCGGAGCCGCAUCCUGUCCGGGAGGAGUGGAAGGCGGCGGUGGUUUGCGAAGAACCACCCUGUUCGUUCCUUAACGGCCUUUUCGGAGAAGGGACGGGGGGCAAGAGAAGAAGAAAUUGAUCGGAACCGCUAACGGAUCGCCAAGUGUUCCCGCCUCGGCCUGCCUCUCCACGACCCCUAGCUCUCCUACUACCGCCCCGCCCAGAACCAACGGUAACGCCAAGAACGCCGCCGCCGCCGCGACAAACAACGCCGCCUCCGGGUCGUCCGCGGCCGCGUCGUCCCGGUGGUCUGUCUCUCCUAGAGUCCCUCACGACCACUACACGACCUGCUACUGGGACAACCCUCCGAGUUCCACAAAUAGAUACUAGAGGGACCUUUUAUGUUGUUCUUCGACGACUUCUUUCUGGGAGCCACGGACUUGGUGUACAAGCGGCGCCUCUAGAAGUACGUGGCCAAGGACGACAGCUCGCGCAGAGGUGCGUACUACGCCUCGCGCUAACUCGACUAGCGCUGCUUUACCGGAAUGACCUUAUCUAGUCUCCCCCGUCUAGUAAAGAAACAGUGUGGUGUACUGAAACCGCGAACGAAGGUAAUAGUCCUUCUCUUUCGUUAACCUGCUCCUUAGGAAGGGAACGAAGUCGCACGAUGUGACCAAGUCUGGAAACCUGUUUUCUUGGUACAGACGAACUUCCUUCCGAGGUAGUGUUAAGGCGGUAAACGCGGAGGCGUCUUUUACGUUUUAGUGGAAUAAGGGCCUCUCUGGGGAGCUAGGUAGAAGCAUAUGAAGGCACCAGACAAGAUGCUGUGGCCGUUACUAGGGCUCCCACCUAUGAUGCGUUCUCCACGAGCACGUAGACAGACCCUCUUGAAGUUCUUGUUGGGCGACAAGCUGUAGAGUUGGCUAGUGGGUGGCUGCAUGAUGCUUCUAUACGUCUCCAGACACAAGACGGAUACGGGUAACCCGACCCGAGGUACCUCGGGGUCCGACCACCUUCGGCACCAAAAGCCGACGUAGGGCCACUAGUAGCGUCUGCUGUAGCAGGAGGGGAAGCGCCUGCGGUAGGGUACCCUCCUCUAGCCGCACAAACAAGGGCUCCUCCUGCAGGGUUCCGACCUGUCGUAGGACUGUAGGUAAGGCUGUCUCCUGUAUGACUCCUUCGUUUCCGAAGAGCGUUUGGGAAGCUACUUCGUCCGGUACGACAAGGGGGUCGGUCGAGUUCGUCCUCUACGUAAGGUAGUCUAUGACUUGCCCGAGCGAGCGUUCGAAGGCGUACCGCUUCUACAGAAGAACUUCGGGCCGGUCCAGGCGGACUUGACCUGGCGACCGGGCCACCCACUGGACUUCGGCACCAUCGUAGAGAGCGUAGCGCCAAACCUCUACAUAUUUUUGGAAAAACUUUUAUUUGUAAAAGUCUGGACUAUAUGAAACGCGGAAAUAUGGUGGUACCAACGUGUCACGACUGGUAUUCAGUUUACAUGUAGAAAAAGUAGAAGAAACGACUAUCGAUCAUAUGGUAUCUCGAAGUAGAAAAGAAGAAGAAGAAGAAGAAGAAGAAGAAGAAGAAAAAGUAAUCAACUACUUUUUACAGUUGGUAACACGUGAAACAACCAAUAUACACCUAUAGCAUUACCUUUAACGUUCUAAAUUUAGG
This 1945-nucleotide ribosomal RNA is filed under the name Triticum aestivum (bread wheat). RNAcentral describes it as "partial small subunit ribosomal RNA". Lineage: Eukaryota; Viridiplantae; Streptophyta; Magnoliopsida; Poales; Poaceae. The record is from RNAcentral.